Molecule: unclassified non-coding RNA, 20 nt
Filed under: Chlamydomonas reinhardtii
Lineage: Eukaryota; Viridiplantae; Chlorophyta; Chlorophyceae; Chlamydomonadales; Chlamydomonadaceae
Description: small RNA Cre_3876
Source: RNAcentral
UUGAAUGUGCCGGUUCAAUU